GAUUGGGUUAACACACCAACCCUCCCUCUUACGGUCGAUUAAGAUUUAUUAGAAAUUGAGCUGGUAGCAAGAACACAGCAGCAUGCUAUACGAGCUGUGACCUCGCUACUUGGUGUACUCCAUUGCCCAGAAGUCGGCGUAGAUGUAGGUGGCCUUGACGCCGGUAAACCCGGCAGCCCUGGCGAGCUUCUCGAGGUCCCUCAGGUACCUUUCCUUGCCGCCGGGGCUGUACGCCAGCAGGCUCACGUCCACGCUGAUUAACCCCUGCGUGCUGUUUGUGGCGUCCGGGUUCACCGGCAGGAUACACUCCACGUUGAUCACCUUACCAUGCGCCGGCAGUGCGUCGUAGCAGU
This 353-nucleotide long non-coding RNA is filed under the name Hordeum vulgare. Its description in RNAcentral is "long non-coding RNA (HVUL_LNC000067)". Lineage: Eukaryota; Viridiplantae; Streptophyta; Magnoliopsida; Poales; Poaceae. The record is from RNAcentral.